CAAAUUAUCUCUUAAAGAGGAUUAUUAUUUACAUUAAUGAUUUGAUUGUGUGAUUCAAUCUAAUUUGA
RNAcentral lists this transfer RNA (68 nucleotides) under Creontiades dilutus (green mirid). RNAcentral's name for it is "tRNA-Val". Lineage: Eukaryota; Metazoa; Arthropoda; Insecta; Hemiptera; Miridae. The record is from RNAcentral.